Molecule: unclassified non-coding RNA, 428 nt
Filed under: fungal sp.
Lineage: Eukaryota; Fungi
Description: partial internal transcribed spacer region
Rfam family: Eukaryotic small subunit ribosomal RNA (bases 1-46)
Source: RNAcentral
AAGUCGUAACAAGGUUUCCGUAGGUGAACCUGCGGAAGGAUCAUUAACACGUAUCCACCCUUACAAACACCAACCCGAUACUUGAACUUCGUCAGGGUUCGCUCUUGAUCUUUGACUGAGCUUCAGGACUCGAGAUUCAUUUAUGUUGAACCGGCGACGAAGGCCAGUUUCAUCCGGGUGGUGGAACUGGUCUGAGCCUGGGUCCAUUAUGCUUCUUUUGAGACCUGCUGCAUCUCGAGUUCAAUGAGACGGUGUCUUUGACGUUUCUGUAAACGAAUCUGACACUGCUGACUUGAAGGUCUCGUAUCACCCUUUUACUCAAUGAACCUAAUUUUCAGUAUAUUUGACUUUAGCUUGAAGAACUUCGUGAUCUUCGCGAGUCAUUUAUAAAACUAGUACAACUCUUAGCAACGGAUGUCUUGGUUCUC